Molecule: unclassified non-coding RNA, 242 nt
Filed under: Hevea brasiliensis (rubber tree)
Lineage: Eukaryota; Viridiplantae; Streptophyta; Magnoliopsida; Malpighiales; Euphorbiaceae
Source: RNAcentral
CCGUGAAAUGGAAAUCCGAGCUUUUCUGGUAGGUGGUAGUUUGUUAAUAGACAACUUAUCUAUGUAGUGUGUAGCUCCAGGGUGACUUUCAGAUCCAUUGAUCACAGCAUUCCUCAACUUGGCAACAUUCCAGGGAGUCACUCUCUCAGGAUAAGUUUACUGCAAAGCAUGGAGGGAUUCCAAUUUCAUUAACACCUAAAUAGGGAUCUGGGGAGAUAACAGAUCGACAUGCAUAAUUAACC